CUAAUACGGAUACUGCAGCAAGUUACUCUCCCUGAGCUGUGUCUGGGUGGUAUAGGAGAGCAGAGGGCUCUAUCCCAUGAUGUACAGUUCCUUUCUAUGAUGUUGAGGAAGCUAUGAGCCUCCCAUCUGCACCUGCAUAUUCCUAUAACUUCUCAGAAUUCUGAGGGUGACUACAGGAGACAAACUGUGCAAGAUACACUA
Perognathus longimembris pacificus (Pacific pocket mouse) is the source of this 201-nucleotide small nucleolar RNA. RefSeq annotates it as small nucleolar RNA SNORA73 family. Lineage: Eukaryota; Metazoa; Chordata; Mammalia; Rodentia; Heteromyidae. The transcript has a single exon. The record is from RefSeq and is a predicted model, not a curated record.